GAUCAUGGCUCAGGAUGAACGCUAGCUACAGGCUUAACACAUGCAAGUCGAGGGGCAGCAUGGUCUUAGCUUGCUAAGGCCGAUGGCGACCGGCGCACGGGUGAGUAACACGUAUCCAACCUGCCGUCUACUCUUGGACAGCCUUCUGAAAGGAAGAUUAAUACAAGAUGGCAUCAUGAGUCCGCAUGUUCACACGAUUAAAGGUACUCCGGUAGACGAUGGGGA
Molecule: ribosomal RNA, 225 nt
Filed under: uncultured bacterium
Lineage: Bacteria
Description: partial 16S ribosomal RNA
Rfam family: Bacterial small subunit ribosomal RNA
Source: RNAcentral